UACGUAGGGUGCAAGCGUUAAUCGGAAUUACUGGGCGUAAAGGGCUCGUAGGUGGCCAACUAAGUCAGACGUGAAAUCCCUCGGCUUAACCGGGGAACUGCGUCUGAUACUGGAUGGCUUGAGAUUGGGAGAGGGAUGCGGAAUUCCAGGUGUAGCGGUGAAAUGCGUAGAUAUCUGGAGGAACACCGGUGGCGAAGGCGGCAUCCUGGACCAACACUGACACUGAGGAGCGAAAGCCAGGGGAGCAAACGGG
Molecule: ribosomal RNA, 253 nt
Filed under: uncultured bacterium
Lineage: Bacteria
Description: partial 16S ribosomal RNA
Rfam family: Bacterial small subunit ribosomal RNA
Source: RNAcentral